GGUUCUAUGGCGCAAUUGGUUAGCGCGUCCGGCUGUUACACGAACGCAGUUCAUGCAGCAUUACCGGGAGGUUGAAAGUUCGAGUCUUUCUAGUACCG
Molecule: non-coding RNA, 98 nt
Organism: Tirmania nivea
Lineage: Eukaryota; Fungi; Ascomycota; Pezizomycetes; Pezizales; Pezizaceae
Source: the annotation of a GenBank genome assembly